This 1113-nucleotide ribosomal RNA is filed under the name uncultured bacterium. RNAcentral's name for it is "bacterial SSU rRNA". It matches the Rfam family "Bacterial small subunit ribosomal RNA", at positions 353 to 1482 of the family's 1533-position model. The record is from RNAcentral.
AGUGAAGAAUAUUGGGCAAUGGGCGAAAGCCUGACCCAGCAACGCCGCGUGAGGGAAGAAGGUUCUCGGAUUGUAAACCUCUGUCCCAUGGGACGAAGAAAGUGACGGUACCAUGGGAGGAAGCCCCGGCUAACUACGUGCCAGCAGCCGCGGUAAUACGUAGGGGGCGAGCGUUGUCCGGAAUUAUUGGGCGUAAAGGGUGCGUAGGCGGCCUUUCAAGUUGGAUGUGAAAUCCCCGUGCUUAACAUGGGAAUUGCAUUCAAAACUGGAGGGCUUGAGUGUGGAAGAGGUAAGUGGAAUUCCCAGUGUAGCGGUGAAAUGCGUAGAGAUUGGGAGGAACACCAGUGGCGAAGGCGACUUACUGGGCCACAACUGACGCUGAUGCACGAAAGCGUGGGGAGCAAACAGGAUUAGAUACCCUGGUAGUCCACGCCGUAAACGAUGGAUACUAGGUGUAGGGGGUAACACCCCCCCUGUGCCGCAGCAAACGCAAUAAGUAUCCCGCCUGGGGAGUACGGUCGCAAGAUUGAAACUCAAAGGAAUUGACGGGGGCCCGCACAAGCAGCGGAGCAUGUGGUUUAAUUCGAAGCAACGCGAAGAACCUUACCAAGGCUUGACAUCCCCUGACGGUCGUGGAAACACGGCUUCCCUUCGGGGCAGGGAGACAGGUGGUGCAUGGUUGUCGUCAGCUCGUGUCGUGAGAUGUUGGGUUAAGUCCCGCAACGAGCGCAACCCUUACACUCAGUUACCAGCGGGUAAAGCCGGGGACUCUGGGUGGACUGCCGGGGACAACUCGGAGGAAGGUGGGGAUGACGUCAAAUCAUCAUGCCCCUUAUGUCUUGGGCUACACACGUGCUACAAUGGCCGCAACAAAGAGCAGCGAGAGGGUAACCUGGAGCGAAACUCACAAAAGCGGUCCCAGUUCGGAUUGUGGGCUGCAACCCGCCCACAUGAAGUCGGAGUUGCUAGUAAUCGCGGAUCAGCAUGCCGCGGUGAAUGCGUUCCCGGGCCUUGUACACACCGCCCGUCACACCAUGGGAGUUGGGAGCGCCCGAAGCCGGUGACUCAACCGCAAGGAGAGAGCCGUCGAAGGCGAGAUCAAUGACUGGGGUG